Molecule: long non-coding RNA, 346 nt
Organism: Oncorhynchus keta (chum salmon)
Lineage: Eukaryota; Metazoa; Chordata; Actinopteri; Salmoniformes; Salmonidae
Exons: 3
Source: RefSeq, a predicted model, not a curated record
UACAUUUAUUCCACCUUUCUACUACUUUCAACUCAAGACAUUGACGUAUCAGGCUUAAUAUCUUUUCUCAACAGUGAUGAACUUAAACACAAUUGUAUUAAUUGGUCAUCCAGGGAUGAGGUCGGGUUAGUCUGGGUGUGUGCCAGUGUGUUUCACACAGACUGGGAUGAGAGUGGGGUGGGGAGACGGUCAACUGAAAUUCUGGCAGCUGUACAAUGCUAUGACUCUGUUUCGGUUGGCAGGACAUGAAGACUGUAAAGAGUGGCAGGUAUUUAUGUUGGCACUGACAUUUCUUGUCCUAUUCCUGGGGAAUUUUCUCACCACAUUAAAAGUUGUUCAUCAAAAG